AGAAACGUCCAAGGAAUCGUGAAUCUCAAGACGUGGAUGUGAAAAUCACCAAAAAAAUAGCUCUUUCCAACACUCAAGACAAAGGCAUCUUAGAAAAGGAGUGUGCCAAAGUAACUGGUGGAAUGAGCAAAA
Long non-coding RNA from Sarcophilus harrisii (Tasmanian devil), 132 nucleotides. RefSeq lists it as uncharacterized. Lineage: Eukaryota; Metazoa; Chordata; Mammalia; Dasyuromorphia; Dasyuridae. The transcript is spliced from 2 exons. The record is from RefSeq and is a predicted model, not a curated record.